Molecule: ribosomal RNA, 492 nt
Filed under: uncultured bacterium
Lineage: Bacteria
Description: partial 16S ribosomal RNA
Rfam family: Bacterial small subunit ribosomal RNA
Source: RNAcentral
AGUGAACGCUGGCGGUAGGCCUAACACAUGCAAGUCGAACGGCAGCACAGUAAGAGCUUGCACUUACGGGUGGCGAGUGGCGGACGGGUGAGGAAUACAUCGGAAUCUACUUUUUCGUGGGGGAUAACGUAGGGAAACUUACGCUAAUACCGCAUACGACCUACGGGUGAAAGCAGGGGAUCUUCGGACCUUGCGCGAUUGAAUGAGCCGAUGUCGGAUUAGCUAGUUGGCGGGGUAAAGGCCCACCAAGGCGACGAUCCGUAGCUGGUCUGAGAGGAUGAUCAGCCACACUGGAACUGAGACACGGUCCAGACUCCGACGGGAGGCAGCAGUGGGGAAUAUUGGACAAUGGGCGCAAGCCUGAUCCAGCCAUACCGCGUGGGUGAAGAAGGCCUUCGGGUUGUAAAGCCCUUUUGUUGGGAAAGAAAAGCAGCAGGUUAAUACCCCGCUGUUCUGACGGUACCCAAAGAAUAAGCACCGGCUAACUUCGUG